Molecule: ribosomal RNA, 420 nt
Filed under: uncultured bacterium
Lineage: Bacteria
Description: bacterial SSU rRNA
Rfam family: Bacterial small subunit ribosomal RNA
Source: RNAcentral
AUUUUGGACAAUGGGGGCAACCCUGAUCCAGCCAUGCCGCGUGUGUGAAGAAGGCCUUCGGGUUGUAAAGCACUUUCGGACGGAACGAAAUCGCGCGAUCUAAUAAGCCGCGUGGAUGACGGUACCGGGUGAGGAAGCCCCGGCUAACGCUGUGCCAGCAGCCGCGGUAAUACAGAGGGGGCAAGCGUUGUUCGGAAUUACUGGGCGUAAAGGGCGCGUAGGCGGCCUUCUAAGUCGGACGUGAAAUCCCCGGGCUCAACCCGGGAACUGCGUCCGAGACUGGAAGGCUCGAAUCCGGGAGAGGGAUGUGGAAUUCCAGGUGUAGCGGUGAAAUGCGUAGAUAUCUGGAGGAACACCGGUGGCGAAGGCGGCAUCCUGGACCGGUAUUGACGCUGAGGCGCGAAAGCCAGGGGAGCAAAC